This 486-nucleotide ribosomal RNA is filed under the name uncultured bacterium. Its description in RNAcentral is "SSU rRNA". It matches the Rfam family "Bacterial small subunit ribosomal RNA", at positions 26 to 521 of the family's 1533-position model. The record is from RNAcentral.
AGGACGAACGCUGGCGGCGUGCCUAACACAUGCAAGUCGAACGAGGUCCAACCGGUAGCAAUACUGGUGAAGAUCAAGUGGCGAACGGGUGAGUAGCACGUGAGCAACCUGCCCCGAAGACCGGGACAACACCGGGAAACCGGUGCUAAUACCGGAUACCCCCACCGAAUCGCAUGGUUUGGUGAGGAAAUGGAUUCCGCUUCGGGAGGGGCUCGCGGCCUAUCAGCUUGUUGGUGAGGUAACGGCUCACCAAGGCUUCGACGGGUAGCUGGUCUGAGAGGACGAUCAGCCACACUGGGACUGAGACACGGCCCAGACUCCUACGGGAGGCAGCAGUGGGGAAUCUUGCACAAUGGGCGAAAGCCUGAUGCAGCAACGCCGCGUGAGGGACGAAGGCUUUCUGAGUUGUAAACCUCUUUCAGCAGGGACGAUUGUGACGGUACCUGCAGAAGAAGCCCCGGCCAACUACGUGCCAGCAGCCGCGGU